Non-coding RNA from Schizosaccharomyces pombe (fission yeast), 265 nucleotides. The record is from the annotation of a GenBank genome assembly. Lineage: Eukaryota; Fungi; Ascomycota; Schizosaccharomycetes; Schizosaccharomycetales; Schizosaccharomycetaceae.
AAUUGUGUUUAAUAAAGAAAUCUCAUUGCGAUCGUUUGUUGGUUUUGCCGUGAAUCUAACAAUACUUGCUUUACUAUCGUUUUUGCUAUUGUAUAUUGAGAGCGGUGUUGCUCAAUGUAUUCACCUAUACGGCACUGUAACAAACAAAUACUGAAGACAGUUAAAAACUGAUUAAGUGGUAAUACGAAUUAGAGUGUCAUUUUAAAAAUAGUGAUGUGGUGGAUUAUGACCGUAUAAGAUGUAACGAGUCGGUAUUUAAAUUUGG